CAACGUGGGUAACCUGCCCAAGAGACUGGGAUAACACCUGGAAACAGAUGCUAAUACCGGAUAACAACACUAGACGCACGUCUAGAGUUUAAAAGAUGGUUCUGCUAUCACUCUUGGAUGGACCUGCGGUGCAUUAGCUAGUUGGUAAGGUAACGGCUUACCAAGGCAAUGAUGCAUAGCCGAGUUGAGAGACUGAUCGGCCACAUUGGGACUGAGACACGGCCCAAACUCCUACGGAAGGCAGCAG
RNAcentral lists this ribosomal RNA (247 nucleotides) under uncultured bacterium. RNAcentral's name for it is "partial 16S ribosomal RNA". It matches the Rfam family "Bacterial small subunit ribosomal RNA", at positions 113 to 354 of the family's 1533-position model. The record is from RNAcentral.